RNAcentral lists this ribosomal RNA (431 nucleotides) under uncultured bacterium. RNAcentral describes it as "partial 16S ribosomal RNA". It matches the Rfam family "Bacterial small subunit ribosomal RNA", at positions 338 to 795 of the family's 1533-position model. The record is from RNAcentral.
CCUACGGGUGGCUGCAGUUAGGAAUCUUGGGCAAUGGGCGCAAGCCUGACCCAGCCAUGCCGCGUGUGUGAAGAAGGCCUUCGGGUUGUAAAGCACUUUCAGCGGUGAAGCGUUAACCACAGAAGAAGCACCGGCUAACUCCGUGCCAGCAGCCGCGGUAAUACGGAGGGUGCGAACGUUAAUCGGAAUCACUGGGCGUAAAGCGCGCGUAGGCGGUCUGUUAAGUGGGAUGUGAAAUCCCCGGGCUUAACCUGGGAAUUGCAUUUCAAACUGGCCGACUAGAGUACGGUAGAGGGAGGUAGAAUUUCCUGUGUAGCGGUGAAAUGCGUAGAUAUAGGAAGGAAUACCAGUGGCGAAGGCGGCCUCCUGGUCAUACUGACGCUGAGGCGCGAAAGCGUGGGGAGCAAACAGGAUUAGAUACCCUUGUAGUC